This 222-nucleotide long non-coding RNA is filed under the name Gossypium barbadense (sea-island cotton). Its description in RNAcentral is "long non-coding RNA (GBAR_LNC014825)". Lineage: Eukaryota; Viridiplantae; Streptophyta; Magnoliopsida; Malvales; Malvaceae. The record is from RNAcentral.
AAAAAUCCAUUAAUGUUGGGAAAAUUAUCCUCAAGGAGAUUCAUGAUUGUGCUAAAAUGAAGGCAAGAAGUGCUUAUUUCCCAUCAUUAAUCACUUCACUUUGCUUAAGGGCCUGUGUUAAAACACAAGCAAAUCUGAAGGGGCAGUAUGUUCAAGGGUGUAUUACAAGUCAUGAUCUUGAAAGGUUGGUAGAAAGAGUGCAUGAGUUAAACCAAGGUGAGC